AUUGAACGCUGGCGGCAGGCUUAACACAUGCAAGUCGAGCGGAGAUGAGGUGCUUGCACCUUAUCUUAGCGGCGGACGGGUGAGUAAUGCUUAGGAAUCUGCCUAUUAGUGGGGGACAACAUUCCGAAAGGAAUGCUAAUACCGCAUACGUCCUACGGGAGAAAGCAGGGGAUCUUCGGACCUUGCGCUAAUAGAUGAGCCUAAGUCGGAUUAGCUAGUUGGUGGGGUAAAGGCCUACCAAGGCGACGAUCUGUAGCGGGUCUGAGAGGAUGAUCCGCACAGAUGGAACUGGGAGACGACCCAGACGCCUACGGGAGGCAGCAGUGGGGAGUAUUGGACAAUGGGGGAAACCCUGAUCCAGCCAUGCCGCGUGUGUGAAGAAGGCCUUAUGGUUGUAAAGCACUUUAAGCGAGGAGGAGGCUACUGAGACUAAUACUCUUGGAUAGUGGACGUUACUCGCAGAAUAAGCACCGGCUAACUCUGUGCCAGCCGCCGCAGUAA
This 501-nucleotide ribosomal RNA is filed under the name uncultured bacterium. Its description in RNAcentral is "partial 16S ribosomal RNA". It matches the Rfam family "Bacterial small subunit ribosomal RNA", at positions 30 to 523 of the family's 1533-position model. The record is from RNAcentral.